GAUGAACGCUGGCGGCGUGCCUAAUACAUGCAAGUCGAGCGAACGGACGAGAAGCUUGCUUCUCUGAUGUUAGCGGCGGACGGGUGAGUAACACGUGGAUAACCUACCUAUAAGACUGGGAUAACUUCGGGAAACCGGAGCUAAUACCGGAUAAUAUUUUGAACCGCAUGGUUCAAAAGUGAAAGACGGUCUUGCUGUCACUUAUAGAUGGAUCCGCGCUGCAUUAGCUAGUUGGUAAGGUAACGGCUUACCAAGGCAACGAUGCAUAGCCGACGUGAGAGGGUGAUCGGCCACACGGGAGCUGAGACACGGUCAAGACUCCUACGGGAGGCAGCAGUAGGGAAUCUUCCGCAAUGGGCGAAAGCCUGACGGAGCAACGCCGCGUGAGUGAUGAAGGUCUUCGGAUCGUAAAACUCUGUUAUUAGGGAAGAACAUAUGUGUAAGUAACUGUGCACAGCUUGACGGUACCUAAUCAGAAAGCCACGGCUAACUACGUG
This 497-nucleotide ribosomal RNA is filed under the name uncultured bacterium. RNAcentral describes it as "partial 16S ribosomal RNA". It matches the Rfam family "Bacterial small subunit ribosomal RNA", at positions 28 to 507 of the family's 1533-position model. The record is from RNAcentral.